AAGGUUCCGUAGGUGAACCUGCGGAAGGACAUU
Molecule: ribosomal RNA, 33 nt
Filed under: Citrus reticulata (mandarin orange)
Lineage: Eukaryota; Viridiplantae; Streptophyta; Magnoliopsida; Sapindales; Rutaceae
Description: partial small subunit ribosomal RNA
Source: RNAcentral